GUUCCUGGCUCAAGAUGAACGCUAGCUACAGGCUUAACACAUGCAAGUCGAGGGGCAGCAUGGACCCAGCUUUGCUGGGUUUGAUGGCGACCGGCGCACGGGUGAGUAACGCGUAUCCAACCUGCCCUUUACUCCGGGAUAGUCUCCUGAAAGGGAGUUUAAUACCGGAUGUGUUUGUCUUUCCGCAUGGGAGCGACAAAUAAAGAUUAAUUGGUAAAGGAUGGGGAUGCGUCCCAUUAGCUUGUUGGCGGGGUAACGG
This 259-nucleotide ribosomal RNA is filed under the name uncultured bacterium. RNAcentral describes it as "partial 16S ribosomal RNA". It matches the Rfam family "Bacterial small subunit ribosomal RNA", at positions 15 to 263 of the family's 1533-position model. The record is from RNAcentral.